GGGAAGUUAGCCGUGCAGUUUGGGGAAAAGAAGGGAAGGAGACCAUUGUGUUCUGGACUGAUAAACUGUCUGAGCAUGUCUGCCCCCCAGAAUAUAUAGUUCAAAAUAGCGCAUGGGAAGGAAUGGAUGAAUCCCUUAUAAUUCAGACUAUCAGCAGGACUCGAAAGACAACUUGUAAAGGUUCUAGCAAGUAAAAGCCUCAAUCGGAAGAGUAGUCAACAAAAUACCACCUCACCUCCGGUUACAUUGACUUGUUACUUUUUUGGUUAUAAGUAGUUUAGAAAAUCAAGACUUCAACCAAUAGUAAUAUGGGAAAGACACUAACCUGUGAAAGAUCAAGCUCCUGACCACAGGAUCCUGGUUUCAUUCAUCUUGGAGACUUUUAGCACAAAGCACUAUUCGUUACAGAGUAGAGGUGUUCCGGAAAUGUUUGCUGAAUUGCAGUCCUGAUGUGCUUUUAUUGUUAUUUGUCUCAUUCCUUAACUUCUAAGCUCCAAAGGGGCAGAUCCACGCCUGUUGUAUUUACCAACAUAUACCAAAUACCUAGCACACAUGACACUAAAUUGACCGAGGUUCAUGGGGAGGAUGACAGCCUUGUCAACCUAGUGACCUUUGGAAACAUCUCCCUCCCACCUCUUCUCUCCUCCCUAAUAGAGUGAAUGGUGAAAGCCAGUCUACACAAAUUAUGAGCAGGAGGUAUCAAAGUACAAAAUAGACUGGUUUUGAUUUUGCAGCAAGUAUGCAAGGCCCCUCCAGUGUGAUGAUGGGCACACAUUUACCGUCUAUACUGUAUGUCAAACCAAAUAGCAUAUUCAUCUGUUAACAAAAGUCACAUUGUGUCAUAUUUUAAAGUUGAGCAGUAACAUUAUUUCCUUUGGAAUUAACUGAAGCUUAAAAUUUACAAUAGGCUGAUGAGAUUCAAUUGCAUAAAAGUAAUAUUUACAACAAUUAAUAGCAAUUUAAGCUAUCAUAGUGUUUAAAGUUUAUUGUUUUCUCAAAAAAACAAACAACUCCAAAAAAAGAAAAGGAAAAAGAAAAAAUUUUAAAGCUACAGAAUAAUAAAGUUUGUA
Molecule: long non-coding RNA, 1070 nt
Organism: Zalophus californianus (California sea lion)
Lineage: Eukaryota; Metazoa; Chordata; Mammalia; Carnivora; Otariidae
Exons: 5
Source: RefSeq, a predicted model, not a curated record